GAGUUUGAUCUUGGCUCAGAUUGAACGCUGGCGGCAUGCCUUACACAUGCAAGUCGAACGGCAGCACGGGAGCUUGCUCCUGGUGGCGAGUGGCGAACGGGUGAGUAAUGCAUCGGAACGUAUCCUGGAGUGGGGGAUAACGUAGCGAAAGUUACGCUAAUACCGCAUAUUCUGUGAGCAGGAAAGCGGGGGACCUUCGGGCCUCGCGCUCUUGGAGCGGCCGAUGUUGGAUUAGCUAGUUGGUGAGGUAAAGGCUCACCAAGGCGACGAUCCGUAGCAGGUCUGAGAGGAUGAUCUGCCACACUGGAACUGAGACACGGUCCAGACUCCUACGGGAGGCAGCAGUGGGGAAUUUUGGACAAUGGGGGCAACCCUGAUCCAGCCAUGCCGCGUGAGUGAAGAAGGCCUCGGUUGUAA
This 417-nucleotide ribosomal RNA is filed under the name bacterium enrichment culture clone ALO1_GLFRUDD03HJ6X6. Its description in RNAcentral is "bacterial SSU rRNA". It matches the Rfam family "Bacterial small subunit ribosomal RNA", at positions 9 to 428 of the family's 1533-position model. The record is from RNAcentral.